GACGAACGCUGGCGGCGUGCUUAACACAUGCAAGUCGAGCGGAAAGGCCCUUCGGGGUACUCGAGCGGCGAACGGGUGAGUAACACGUGAGUAACCUGCCCCAGACUUUGGGAUAACCCUCGGAAACGGGGGCUAAUACCGAAUAUUACAUUUCACCGCAUGGUGGUUUGUGGAAAGUUUUUCGGUUUGGGAUGGACUCGCGGCCUAUCAGCUUGUUGGUGGGGUAAUGGCCUACCAAGGCGAGGACGGGUAGCCGGCCUGAGAGGGCGAUCGGCCACACUGGGGACUGAGACACGGCCCAGACUCCUACGGGAGGCAG
Molecule: ribosomal RNA, 319 nt
Filed under: uncultured Actinomycetes bacterium
Lineage: Bacteria; Bacillati; Actinomycetota; Actinomycetes
Description: bacterial SSU rRNA
Rfam family: Bacterial small subunit ribosomal RNA
Source: RNAcentral